AGUCUAAGUAUCACAGUUGAACACAAUGGUUCAGAAGCAGGGUAUAGAAUGAAAGUCAGGAGAUAAAAUUGCAUUUCCCAAUUGCUCUGAACUCUAGUUAGACUUGACGUGGGACGUGAAUAACCUUCCUGUCUAGAGAGCUGCCUCCCUGAAGUGUGACUUCCUCUCUCUCACUUCCAGAACACCCGGCCCAGGGAGAUGCGGAUUUUCAGCAAGAACUUUAUUCCAAUGCUAAUGGGAGACACCACGAAGGAGGACAGCAGCCAUUUGUGCAGAUCAUCUAGAAGAACCUGGACUGUUCUAGAAGGAGCUGAAUACAGUGAUCACGUUGUCCUCUUAGGACCGGGGGGGUGUUUCUGGUUCCACCCCUUCCUGCGGCACCACCUCCCUUUUGAUAUUGCUGAAUUCCAACCUCCCUGGGGCCGAACCUGGAGGUCCUGUUUCCUACGGACUUGGCUGUUGUAGUCCUGGAGCAUUUGAAUGCACACGGCAGACACUCAGAUUGGCACAGAAUUCUUUGUGAAAUAUGAGUGCCAUAGACCGUAACAGAUAGCUUCAUGCACACUAUGCAUUUUAUUGGUUUGUUUGGAAAAUGCGGGCCACUAAAUUAUUAAUAGGUUUAUUUCAAAUAGUUUGGAAAUUGUUGUACUUUUGAAAACAUGCAGUUCCUGUAUAUUUUUAGAUGAGAGUUAUAGCUGUUAUAUAUACAUAAAGAUAACUUUAUUUUCAUUUUAAGAGAGAAUCCUUUUUAUCCUAAAUCGUUUAUUAUCUUUAAAUUGUUUUCUGUAUUAUUACAUGUACCUCUGGGGCGAGUACACUUUUUAUCUAUGAUACUUACAUAAUAAUCUCUUCUAUUUAUAGCUAUUGGUAGUUCCCCUAAGUUCUCAUCACAGAAUUUUUUAUUUGCUGUUUAGACUUAUGACUGAAUUGUCAGAAUUCAGUUGUGAUUUUUAACAUGUCUUAGAUAUAUAUAUUAACAUGUCUAAUAUAGACUAUAUAUUUUAUUGGUUUA
Mandrillus leucophaeus (drill) is the source of this 1012-nucleotide long non-coding RNA. RefSeq lists it as uncharacterized. NCBI's taxonomy places the organism in Eukaryota, Metazoa, Chordata, Mammalia, Primates, Cercopithecidae. The record is from RefSeq and is a predicted model, not a curated record. The transcript has 2 exons.